GACCCCAUACCAUACCAUACCAUACCAUUUCUCUACAUCUUACUCUGUUUCUUCUACUUUCUCGAAACUCCGUUACUGCUUUGCUUUGGUGAAGGUCUGUGCUUCUUCUUGGUCUCCUUCGGCUUUUUUCUUUACUUGUUGCAUGCUUGUUUGUUCCUCUGUUGAUCGGUGAAGUGUGAAUCGACGCCAUUUCGUUCUCAACUUGGUUUGAUGGAGUGCGUUUCUCUGUGAUCUCAAGGGGAAUCCGGCGAUGAUUGUGUUAAUGCGGUGCCUGAUGCUUGAUUCUGGUUUCGGUUUUGCGGUUUUGUUUCCUCGAAUUAUAUGAAAUGUUUGAUUGGAACGACGAAGAGCUAGCUAACAUAAUAUGGGGUGAAGGAGGUGAGAGUGAUGAUCAUAUUGUGCCUUAUCCAGAGAUAAACGAAGAUGUUAGCAACAACAAAGAAUUCAAUCAGGAAGCUUCUACGACUAAGCUCACGGAGUUGAAAAGACCAGAGGCUAAAACUGAUUUUUAUGAAAGAAAGCUUGGAAGCAGUUCCAACCUCGAUAAUAGUGUAGAAUUACCUGUCUCAGGAUAUGGAACACAUGCCUGGCCUGACUUGUCUUUGUCCAGUUCAGCUAAAAUUGAUCAGGGAUCCCUUGGUACUGAAGUAUCCAAAAAUUUAAGAGAACUUGGCAAAUUCAGUUCAAGAAUUGGAGAAUCUAAACAGCAUGAAAAGGAUGCUGAAAUUUUCCAAAGUGCUAAUGAAGGUAAAGAGCAAGGUGAUUUUGUUGAUUAUGAAUGGGCCAACAUAGGAAGUUUUGAUGACCUUGAUCGAAUUUUUAGCAAUGAUGAUCCUAUAUUCGGUCAUGUAAGUCUUGAUAAUUCUAAUGACCUUUGGUCCUCCAAAGAUGUGACCAACGAUCCAGCACCUUUACCAUUGGAUACACCAAGUUCGUCUGGUGCUUUGAGGAACGGAACUGAUCCUUUGGAAAUCAAAGAAGAGUAUGUUCAAUGUAAUGGUGACAAAUCGUUGGACCUCAGCUAUGAGAAGAUUGGGAUUCCUGCAUCCCAAGUUUUACAAAAUUCAUGCACAAUCACAGGUAAUGCGGGAAAUGAUGGAGUUAGAAGCAAGCCUACUGAAAAGGAACGGCAGGUUUUUAGGCAAAAGAAUCUUUUGAAAACUCGGAAAAAAUCACAGGUAAAACAGGAGGAGAAUAACUUGCAAGAUUUUUAUGGUAAUUGGUCUCCUUCAGCAGCACCGGCAAGACAAUUUGAGAAUGAAUUAUCACCAUCUGUCAUACAAUCUUCUCCCUCUCCAAUUCUUGGUCAACAAAAGCAGAUCCAAGGAGCUGAAACCUUAUUUCAGAAUAUUGUAAAUCCAUAUGUGGCUUCUUCUGUGUAUGAGAACCUUACUGGUACAUAUCCUGCUAUGCCAAUGCUGUCACAGACUUCAUCAGGUGAUCUUAGGCAGCAGCCUGUGCUUUCUGGGUACAAAGUGUCUCCUGGUACAGUGAAUUCUGUGAAAAAUACUGUGGACUCAGUCAAACCUCAAAUCAUGACUCCUCAGGAGAAAAUUGAAAAAUUGAGGAGGCGGCAGCAAAUGCAGGCAAUGAUUGCUAUUCAGAAACAACGGCAACAAUUGGGCCAUCAAGUCCCUAGUAAUAGCAAAUCAAGCACCCAGAAAUGCCCUCCAAAAAUCCCAAGUCAUCUCAGUGACGACGGGACUGAUGAAGAUCUAAGAAUUCUUCCUGCUCCAGAUCCACCUAUUGAACAAGAUGAUUCUAAUACAAUGUCAGUGGCCGUUGGAAAUGAUUUUGUUGAAGACACCAUAUUUUAUCAGCUUCAGGAUAUUAUAUCAAAGUUGGACAUCAAAAUAAGACUCUGCAUCAGAGAUAGUUUGAUCCGGUUAGCACAAAGUGCAACUCAAAGGCAUUAUGCUAGUGAUACUAACAGUACAAACAAAAGUAGCAGAGACGAACUUGAAUUUGUGGCAAGAGAAGAAAGCAACAAACAAAAUAGAUAUGCCAGGAUGCCAGAUGUUGAAACAGAAACGAAUCCCAUUGAUAGAACCGUAGCCCAUUUACUUUUUCAUAGUCCUGUGGAGCUAACCCAGAACUAUUCUGACAACCUUGAGUCACCUGUUUCUACUAAGGUGCAAUGCGAAAGCAAAGCAGCUAACCUGGUGAACUUUCCCAUGAGUUGCUUACCAGACGAGGACUCGAAAAACAAUCAACAACUUUCUCACCUUGGGCUGAAGAAUUCUUGGUUUGAUACCCAGUCUAUGGAUCAAAUUAGAAACAGUCCCUGCGUAGACACUUCUGAGAAUGCAUCCAACACGCAGGAACUUGAAGCCUCUCAAUGAAGAAGAAAGAGGGCUCUCCAGAUAUUUGAAGCCACUCAGAUCAUAAGCAAGCACAGUUAUCGCUGUAGAAUCCUGGGAACCAGUUUCAUGGUUGUUAUAUUAUUAUCGUUUCUUCUGUUUCAAACAUGACGUACUGUGUAUAUCAGUAUCUGACCAUACUUAAGGUCGCGAGUGCUAUGUUGUAUCGUUCAUAACUGCAACAAAAAUGCCUCGCACUCAGAUGUCAAAUUUAAGUCUUUGACUGACUGACUUAGACCAGACUUUAAAGUUUAUGUCAUAUUUCUGUUGACUGGCAUUCUUAUAUGGGACAGUUUACUCGGUUAGUCUCCCCAAUUCCCAUUGAUUGUAUUUCAAGUCGAUGCUUAUAUUUUGCCAUGCUUUUUGAAGGUAAAGUAGAUUGUUAGUGGCAUUUUGAUAGUGCACUCAAUACGUGCUGUAAACUAUUUUUGUCCUUGACUGCAGCUUGAGUGCAUGAUAUAAGCUAAAAAAAUCAUCUA
Vigna radiata var. radiata (mung bean) is the source of this 2839-nucleotide RNA transcript. It is a transcript of the gene named protein LNK2, with no coding region annotated. The record is from RefSeq and is a predicted model, not a curated record. NCBI's taxonomy places the organism in Eukaryota, Viridiplantae, Streptophyta, Magnoliopsida, Fabales, Fabaceae. The transcript is spliced from 9 exons.